UGGAAAACAGUUGCCACCUCACCAACUCC
This 29-nucleotide non-coding RNA is filed under the name Mus musculus (house mouse). Lineage: Eukaryota; Metazoa; Chordata; Mammalia; Rodentia; Muridae. The record is from RNAcentral.